GACGAACGCUGGCGGCGUGCUUAACACAUGCAAGUCGAACGGUGAAGCGCCUUCCUUUUUGGUGGGUGUGGAUGAGUGGCGAACGGGUGAGUAACACGUGAGUAACCUGCCCCCUUCUUCUGGAUAACCGCAUGAAAGUGUGGCUAAUACGGGAUAUUCUGGGUCUGUCGCAUGAUGGGUCUGGGAAAGAUAUUGUUUCGGUGGGGGAUGGGCUCGCGGCCUAUCAGCUUGUUGGUGGGGUGAUGGCCUACCAAGGCGGUGACGGGUAGCCGGCCUGAGAGGGUGGACUGUCACACUGGGACGGAGGCACGGCCCAGACUCGUACGAGAGGCAGCAGUGGGGAAUAUUGCACAAUGGGCGCAAGCCUGAUGCAGCGACGCCGCGUGAGGGAUGGAGGCCUGCGGGGUGUGAACCUCAUUCGCCAGUGAAGCAGGCCUGCCUCGUUUGUGGGUGGGUUGACGGUAGCUGGAUAAGAAGCGCCGGCUAACUACGUG
RNAcentral lists this ribosomal RNA (494 nucleotides) under uncultured bacterium. RNAcentral describes it as "partial 16S ribosomal RNA". It matches the Rfam family "Bacterial small subunit ribosomal RNA", at positions 28 to 507 of the family's 1533-position model. The record is from RNAcentral.